RNAcentral lists this microRNA precursor (103 nucleotides) under Marmota monax (woodchuck). The record is from RNAcentral. Lineage: Eukaryota; Metazoa; Chordata; Mammalia; Rodentia; Sciuridae.
AGUAGGAUAACAGGGUCGAAUGGUGGUUCCAUUCCAACUUUUCUGAGGAAUAUCCAUACUGCUUUCCAGAGUGGUUGCACCAAUUUAUAGUCCCACCAGCAAU